GGGGGGGGGGGGGGGGGGGGGGGGGGGGGGGGGGGGGGGGGGGGGGGGGGGGGGCUUGCUCCUCUGGCGGUGGCGGCGAGCGGGGGAGUAACACGUGGAUAACCUACCUAUAAGGCUGGGAUAACUUCGGGAAACCGGAGCUCAUACCGGAUCAUAUAUUGGACCGCAUGGUUCCAUAGUGAAAGACGGUUUUGCUGUCACUUAUAGAUGGAUCCGCGCCGCAUUAGCUAGUUGGUAAGGUAACGGCUUACCAAGGCAACGAUGCGUAGCCGACCUGAGAGGGUGAUCGGCCACACUGGAACUGAGACACGGUCCAGACUCCUACGGGAGGCAGCAGUAGGGAAUCUUCCGCAAUGGGCGAAAGCCUGACGGAGCAACGCCGCGUGAGUGAUGAAGGUCUUCGGAUCGUAAAACUCUGUUAUUAGGGAAGAACAAAUGUGUAAGUAACUAUGCACGUCUUGACGGUACCUAAUCAGAAAGCCACGGCUAACUACGUG
This 497-nucleotide ribosomal RNA is filed under the name uncultured bacterium. RNAcentral describes it as "partial 16S ribosomal RNA". It matches the Rfam family "Bacterial small subunit ribosomal RNA", at positions 27 to 507 of the family's 1533-position model. The record is from RNAcentral.